ACACAUGCAAGUCGAACGGAGAUUACAGGCGGAAGUUUUCGGAUGGAAGCUUGUAAACUUAGUGGCGGACGGGUGAGUAACACGUGAGCAACCUGCCUAUCAGAGGGGGAUAACGAUUGGAAACGAUCGCUAAUACCGCAUGACAUAGCGGAAUCGCAUGGUUCUGUUAUCAAAGAUUUUAUCGCUGAUAGAUGGGCUCGCGUCCGAUUAGAUAGUUGGUGGGGUAACGGCCUACCAAGUCGACGAUCGGUAGCCGGACUGAGAGGUCGAACGGCCACAUUGGGACUGAGACACGGCCCAGACUCCUACGGGAGGCAGCAGUGGGGGAUAUUGCACAAUGGGGGAAACCCUGAUGCAGCGACGCCGCGUGAGGGAAGACGGUCCUCUGGAUUGUAAACCUCUGUCUUCGGGGACGAAACGAGACGGUACCCGAGGAGGAAGCCACGGCUAACUACGUGCCAGCAGCCGCGGUAAUACGUAGGUGGCAAGCGUUGUCCGGAAUUACUGGGUGUAAAGGGAGCGUAGGCGGGCAGGCAAGUCAGGCGUGAAAUAUAUCGGCUCAACCGGUAACGGCACUUGAAACUGCAGGUCUUGAGUGAAGUAGAGGUUGGCGGAAUUCCUAGUGUAGCGGUGAAAUGCGUAGAUAUUAGGAGGAACACCAGUGGCGAAGGCGGCCAACUGGGCUUUUACUGACGCUGAGGCUCGAAAGUGUGGGGAGCAAACAGGAUUAGAUACCCUGGUAGUCCACACCGUAAACGAUGAUUACUAGGUGUGGGGGGACUGACCCCUUCCGUGCCGGA
RNAcentral lists this ribosomal RNA (800 nucleotides) under uncultured bacterium. Its description in RNAcentral is "bacterial SSU rRNA". It matches the Rfam family "Bacterial small subunit ribosomal RNA", at positions 51 to 850 of the family's 1533-position model. The record is from RNAcentral.